RNA transcript from Caenorhabditis elegans, 1091 nucleotides. It is a transcript of the gene named Non-coding transcript of protein-coding gene dmsr-12, with no coding region annotated. The transcript is spliced from 9 exons. The record is from RefSeq and is marked reviewed. Lineage: Eukaryota; Metazoa; Nematoda; Chromadorea; Rhabditida; Rhabditidae.
AUGUUGACGUCAGCAUUUAACUGCACGCAAUUCACUGUACCAUAUCCAGAGCCAGGUACCGAUGAAGCUGGGAAUAGUACGAUUCCAUGGUUGAUGACUACCGUUGUAAAAGCAUACCGGCCGUUUCACUACUAUAUAUUCACUUCCUUAGUUGUUUUGCAUUUUUUGCAAAUAUUAUGAUUGUGAAAGUUCUUUCCCACAAAGAAAUGAUUCGUUCUGGUGUGAAUGUUACUAUGUUGCUUAUUGCGGUUUGUGAUUUUGGAUGUUCAAUUGCAGAAUUAUUAAAACUGUUCUUGUGGAGCUACUCAGAUAAAUAUAUUUCAUACCCAACUGCUUAUGGGCGGCUAGUUAUUUACUAUUUAGCCGCAGCAUUCCAUGCGUCUUCCUUAUAUCUUGCUGUUGGAAUGGCGUUCUGCAGAGUCAAAUCUUUAAACUUUGCAAAUAGAAACAAUGAUCUUUGGCAAUCACCUAAUUAUGCAGUACGAGUUGCUUGUGCUUUGUGCGCACCUGUCUUCCUAAUCACCACCUUUAUUCUUUUCAUGAACGUUGUGAAAAACACCGAGGAAGAAGGAAUUCAUCUAGAUAUUUCUGAUUUAUCGUUGUUCAGUGAAUGCUUGUUUCUGAAAAUUUAUUUCAUAGCUAGAAAUACAAUUUUUCCGAUUGCUCCUUGUGUCCUAAUGCUAAUAUUGUCGUUUACCCUUUUGAAAAAAUUUGACGAGGGAAAACGCAGUGCACAAAACGCAGCAGCAAGCCAAAAAGGGAAAAAAGAUAAAAUCGACCGCUCAUCUAGGUUCAUCCAAUUUGUUCUAGUGAUAUUUUUAAUCACUGAGUCACCACAAGGAGUUUUCAAAAUUCUUAGUGGCAUUAUGAUGAUAGAUUACAUAAACUAUUUUCAAAACUUAACAAUUUUUAUAAAUAUUUUGGCAUUCUUCAACAGCACCACAAGUUUUAUCAUUUAUAGCUCGUUAUCUGCUAAAUUUAGAAAAAUUUUUGCUCAACUUUUUUUUCCAACCCAUAUUUUGGAAACAAUCUAUUUGAAGCGAAGCACGAAUGUGGUUCAUUCAGUUGCACACGCUUCGCGACCAUUUUGA